This 449-nucleotide ribosomal RNA is filed under the name uncultured bacterium. RNAcentral describes it as "partial 16S ribosomal RNA". It matches the Rfam family "Bacterial small subunit ribosomal RNA", at positions 29 to 523 of the family's 1533-position model. The record is from RNAcentral.
AACGAACGCUGGCGGCAUGCCCAACACAUGCAAGUCGAACGAGAUCUUCGGGUCUAGUGGCGCACGGGUGCGUAACGCGUGGGAAUCUGCCCUUUGGUUCGGAAUAACAGUUGGAAACGACUGCUAAUACCGGAUGAUGACGAAAGUCCAAAGAUUUAUCGGCCGCGGAUGAUCCCGCGUAGGAUUAGCUAGUUGGUGUGGUAAAGGCGCACCAAGGCGAAGAUCCUUAGCUGGUCUGAGGGGAUGAUCAGCCAAACUGGGACUGAGACAAGGACCAGAUUCCUACGGGAGGCAGAAGUGGGGAAUAUUGGAAGAUGGGCGAAAGCAUGAUACAGCAAUGCCGCGUGAGUGAUGAAGGCCUUAGGGUUGUAAAGCUCUUUUACCAGGGAUGAUAAUGACAGUACCGGGAGAAUAAGCUCCGGCUAACUCCGUGCCAGCCGCCGCCGUAA